This 276-nucleotide ribosomal RNA is filed under the name Goniomonas pacifica. RNAcentral describes it as "partial Bacterial small subunit ribosomal RNA". It matches the Rfam family "Bacterial small subunit ribosomal RNA", at positions 258 to 531 of the family's 1533-position model. Lineage: Eukaryota; Cryptophyceae; Goniomonadida; Goniomonadaceae. The record is from RNAcentral.
UAACGGCCCACCUAGUCAACGAUGGAUAGGGGUUCUGAGAGGAAGGUCCCCCACAUUGGAACUGAGACACGGUCCAAACUCCUACGGGAGGCAGCAGUGAGGAAUAUUGGUCAAUGGACGAAAGUCUGAACCAGCCAUGCCGCGUGCAGGAAGACUGCCCUACGGGUUGUAAACUGCUUUUAUAUAGGAAUAAACCCUCGUUCGUGAACGAGGCUGAAGGUACUAUAAGAAUAAGGACCGGCUAACUCCGUGCCAGCAGCCGCGGUAAUACGGAGG